This is a long non-coding RNA of Calliphora vicina (urban bluebottle blowfly), 415 nucleotides long. RefSeq lists it as uncharacterized. The transcript has 2 exons. The record is from RefSeq and is a predicted model, not a curated record. Lineage: Eukaryota; Metazoa; Arthropoda; Insecta; Diptera; Calliphoridae.
UCGUAAACCGUAGAAGAGGGAAGUGAGAAUUUUUUUUAAAAAUAUUCAUAUUUUCAAAAUGAAAGUUGUUAUCAACACAUAUGGAGGAAAUUCGAAAUCAUGUUCCACAGUAAGAAAACCUUCGAAAUCAUGUUCCACAGUAAAAAAACCUUCGAAACCAUGCACUAAAGUACAAACAAAAUGUACUGCAGGACGAGGAGCAGUUGCAUAUGGAUCGAAACCUAAACUUCAGAAGGAAACAUACGUAAGACAAACUGUUGUGAUAACACGAGAAUAUAGCACGAGUAAGAAACCAAAAAGUGCCGGAAAGAAAAAGUAAAAAUUUCAUGGCGAUUUGUGUUAAUAAUUUCAAAUUGUUAAAUAUAGUAUCCCAUAAAUAAAGUUUUUUUUUAUGCAAAUACAUAAUACCAAUAAA